CAGUAGCACGGGAAUACGAGGGGGGCAAGCGUUGUUCGGAAUUAUUGGGCGUAAAGGGUGCGUAGGCGGUUUGAUAAGUCACAUGUGAAAUCUUUGGGCUCAACCCGAAGUCUGCAUGCGAAACUGUCGGGCUUGAGUAUGGGAGAGGUGAGUGGAAUUUCCGGUGUAGCGGUGAAAUGCGUAGAUAUCGGAAGGAACACCUGUGGCGAAAGCGGCUCACUGGACCAUAACUGACGCUGAUGCACGAAAGCUAGGGGAGCAAACAGGAUUAGAUACCCCGGUAGUCCCUGUCUCUUAUACC
This 301-nucleotide ribosomal RNA is filed under the name uncultured bacterium. RNAcentral describes it as "partial 16S ribosomal RNA". It matches the Rfam family "Bacterial small subunit ribosomal RNA", at positions 509 to 808 of the family's 1533-position model. The record is from RNAcentral.